CGAACGCUUGCGGCGUGCCUAACACAUGCAAGUCGAACGAGAAAAUCUUGCUUGCAAGAUGAGUAAAGUGGCGCACGGGUGAGUAACGCGUGGGUAAUCUACCUUUGGGACAGGGAUAACACUUCGAAAGGGGUGCUAAUACCUGAUACGAUGCGAAUUUCAUAAGGAGUUUGCAUGAAAGGUGACCUCUUCCUUGAAAGUUGCCGCUCGAAGAUGAGCCCGCGUCCCAUUAGCUUGUUGGUGGGGUAAUGGCCUACCAAGGCUCAGAUGGGUAGCUGGUCUGAGAGGAUGAUCAGCCACACUGGAACUGAGACACGGUCCAGACUCCUACGGGAGGCAGCAGUGGGGAAUAUUGCGCAAUGGGGGAAACCCUGACGCAGCAACGCCGCGUGAGUGAUGAAGGCCUUCGGGUCGUAAAGCUCUGUCAGGUGGGAAGAACAAGGAAAUCCCCAAUAAGGAUUCCCUUUGACGGUACCACCAGAGGAAGCACCGGCUAACUCC
Molecule: ribosomal RNA, 501 nt
Filed under: uncultured bacterium
Lineage: Bacteria
Description: bacterial SSU rRNA
Rfam family: Bacterial small subunit ribosomal RNA
Source: RNAcentral